RNAcentral lists this long non-coding RNA (224 nucleotides) under Elaeis guineensis (African oil palm). RNAcentral's name for it is "long non-coding RNA (EGUI_LNC075072)". Lineage: Eukaryota; Viridiplantae; Streptophyta; Magnoliopsida; Arecales; Arecaceae. The record is from RNAcentral.
CCAAAUUAUAGUACCCUUGAUUUGAAGGAAAUUUGUGUGGGUCUCUUGAAAUUCGAACACUAUUAAACUAAAAAAUUUCAUUUUAGGGCCCAUGCUUUUGUGGAUAAAUAUCAUAAGAAAGUUGAUCAAUUUUCUUAUUGACCAACUUACCUGUUCUCAUAUGUCUUUAGAUGGAUAAAUCAUUUUUCUAUGGAUAGCAUUUAUCCAUGAAAUGGGAGGAAAGU